Molecule: unclassified non-coding RNA, 26 nt
Filed under: Mus musculus (house mouse)
Lineage: Eukaryota; Metazoa; Chordata; Mammalia; Rodentia; Muridae
Description: oocyte_clustered_small_RNA7016
Source: RNAcentral
CAAAGCUUCCGCAAGGCAAAAGACAC